AAUGAACGUUGGCGGCGUGGAUUAGGCAUGCAAGUCGAGCGCGAACCCCGCAAGGGGUGAAAGCGGCGAAAGGGAAAGUAACGCGUGGGUAUCUGCCCUCGGGACUGGGAUAGCUGCGGGAAACUGCAGGUAAUACCAGAUGACGUCCCCGGACCAAAGGUGUGAUUCCGCCUGAGGAUGAGCCCGCGUCCUAUUAGCUAGUUGGUAGGGUAAUGGCCUACCAAGGCAAUGAUGGGUACUGGGUGUGAGAGCACGACCCAGCUCACUGGGACUGAGACACUGCCCAGACACCUACGGGUGGCUGCAGUCGAGAAUCUUCGGCAAUGGGCGAAAGCCUGACCGAGCGACGCCGCGUGUGGGAUGAAGGCCUUCGGGUUGUAGACCGCUGUCAGAGGGGAGGAAUGGGCGGAGGGUAAUCUCUUCGUUUUGACCUAUCCUCAGAGGAAGUACGGGCUAAGUUCGUGCCAGCCGCCGCAGUAA
Molecule: ribosomal RNA, 480 nt
Filed under: uncultured bacterium
Lineage: Bacteria
Description: partial 16S ribosomal RNA
Rfam family: Bacterial small subunit ribosomal RNA
Source: RNAcentral